This 499-nucleotide ribosomal RNA is filed under the name uncultured bacterium. RNAcentral's name for it is "partial 16S ribosomal RNA". It matches the Rfam family "Bacterial small subunit ribosomal RNA", at positions 28 to 523 of the family's 1533-position model. The record is from RNAcentral.
GAUGAACGCUGGCGGCGUGCCUAACACAUGCAAGUCGAGCGAGAUAAAUGUGAGUGGAGACUUCGGUCAAAGCGAUCAUUUUGAAAGCGGCGGACGGGUGAGUAACGCGUGAGCAAUCUGCCCCAUACAAAGGGUUACCCACUGGAAACGGUGAUUAAUACCUUAUAAGACCACGAAGUCGCCUGGCUUAGUGGCCAAAGCUUUAUCGGUAUGGGAUGAGCUCGCGUCUGAUUAGCUAGUUGGUGAGGUAAUGGCUCACCAAGGCGACGAUCAGUGGCCGACCUGAGAGGGUGAACGGCCACAAUGGAACUGAGACACGGUCCAGACUCCUACGGGAGGCAGCAGUGGGGAAUAUUGCACAAUGGGCGCAAGCCUGAUGCAGCAACGCCGCGUGAAUGAUGAAGGCCUUCGGGUCGUAAAGUUCUGUCCUAAGGGAAGAAUACAGUGACGGUACCUUAGGAGGAAGCCCCGGCUAACUACGUGCCAGCCGCCGCCGUAA